GGAUCGCUAGCUCAGUUGGCUAGAGCAUCUCGUUUACACCGAGAGGGUCGGGGGUUCGAGUCCCUCGCGAUCCACCA
Molecule: transfer RNA, 77 nt
Filed under: Candidatus Nomurabacteria bacterium
Lineage: Bacteria; Candidatus Nomuraibacteriota
Description: tRNA-Val
Rfam family: tRNA
About the family: Transfer RNA (tRNA) molecules are approximately 80 nucleotides in length. Their secondary structure includes four short double-helical elements and three loops (D, anti-codon, and T loops).
Source: RNAcentral